CCUACGGGGGGCAGCAGUGAGGAAUAUUGGUCAAUGGACGAGAGUCUGAACCAGCCAAGUAGCGUGAAGGAUGACUGCCCUAUGGGUUGUAAACUUCUUUUAUAAAGGACUCAAACGAGGCACGUGUGCCUUUUUGCAUGUACUUUAUGAAUAAGGAUCGGCUAACUCCGUGCCAGCAGCCGCGGUAAUACGGAGGAUCCGAGCGUUAUCCGGAUUUAUUGGGUUUAAAGGGAGCGUAGAUGGUUUGUUAAGUCAGUUGUGAAAGGUUGCGGCUAAAAAGUAAAAUUGAAAGUGAUACGGGCAGUCUUGAGUACAGUUGAGGUAGGCGGAAUUCGGGGUGUAGCGGGGAAAUGAUGAGAGAGCACGAAGAACCACGAUUGAGAAGGCAGAUUACUAAACUGUGAAGGACAUUGAUGCUCGAAAGUGUGGGUAUCAAACAGGAUGAGAGACACUAGGAGGC
This 460-nucleotide ribosomal RNA is filed under the name uncultured bacterium. RNAcentral's name for it is "partial 16S ribosomal RNA". It matches the Rfam family "Bacterial small subunit ribosomal RNA", at positions 338 to 795 of the family's 1533-position model. The record is from RNAcentral.